Caenorhabditis elegans is the source of this 437-nucleotide long non-coding RNA. Ensembl annotates it as ncRNA. Its record names the gene H09G03.5. NCBI's taxonomy places the organism in Eukaryota, Metazoa, Nematoda, Chromadorea, Rhabditida, Rhabditidae. The record is from Ensembl.
UAUUCACUCCCACACGUCUCAUAUCAAACAAUAUUGAUAUUGCCUUUGUCACACGUUUUUUUGGGUAAAAUAACAAAACAGAAAACAUUGGGAAGAACAAGAUCCGGGGUAGUUAUGGAAAAGCAACGUCGGAGCAUUGCCAUUUAUCACAAAUCGAGUAGACAGAAGCCAUUCACCAUGCUCAACACUUGGGUGAAGUUCGAAUGGAAAUUCUCAGCUGAAGCCAUCCUCUCGUAAUUUACCGAGACGUUUUUUCAGUGAAGCAGAUCUCGAAAUACUUGGAUCUUAGGAAAACUUUGAAAAUUAAAGAGCAGAACAAUGCGAUCAAUUUUCUUCAAAGCCAAGACAAUCCCAGUCAUCACCAACGCAAUGAAUAUGGAUCCGAACGAAAAAUAAUAUUAAACUUUUUUUUAAAAAUAAACACUUAUUUGAAAAUU